This 2877-nucleotide ribosomal RNA is filed under the name Salmonella enterica subsp. enterica serovar Agona str. SL483. Its description in RNAcentral is "bacterial LSU rRNA". It matches the Rfam family "Bacterial large subunit ribosomal RNA". Lineage: Bacteria; Pseudomonadati; Pseudomonadota; Gammaproteobacteria; Enterobacterales; Enterobacteriaceae. The record is from RNAcentral.
AGCGUACACGGUGGAUGCCCUGGCAGUCAGAGGCGAUGAAGGGCGUGCUAAUCUGCGAUAAGCGCCGGUAAGGUGAUAUGAACCGUUAUAACCGGCGAUACCCGAAUGGGGAAACCCAGUGUGACUCGUCACACUAUCAUUAACUGAAUCCAUAGGUUAAUGAGGCGAACCGGGGGAACUGAAACAUCUAAGUACCCCGAGGAAAAGAAAUCAACCGAGAUUCCCCCAGUAGCGGCGAGCGAACGGGGAGGAGCCCAGAGCCUGAAUCAGCAUGUGUGUUAGUGGAAGCGUCUGGAAAGGCGCGCGAUACAGGGUGACAGCCCCGUACACAAAAGCGCAUGUGCUGUGAGCUCGAUGAGUAGGGCGGGACACGUGGUAUCCUGUCUGAAUAUGGGGGGACCAUCCUCCAAGGCUAAAUACUCCUGACUGACCGAUAGUGAACCAGUACCGUGAGGGAAAGGCGAAAAGAACCCCGGCGAGGGGAGUGAAAAAGAACCUGAAACCGUGUACGUACAAGCAGUGGGAGCCCCACCACCAAAGCAUUCUCUGGUGUUGAAGGCCCUGCAAAGCAGCAUCGCGGUGGCGGAGCGUCGUUUGCGACGCCCAACACACAAAACAAGCGGUGAGUGCUUUGGGGUGGGGUGACUGCGUACCUUUUGUAUAAUGGGUCAGCGACUUAUAUUCUGUAGCAAGGUUAACCGAAUAGGGGAGCCGGAGGGAAACCGAGUCUUAAUUGGGCGUUAAGUUGCAGGGUAUAGACCCGAAACCCGGUGAUCUAGCCAUGGGCAGGUUGAAGGUUGGGUAACACUAACUGGAGGACCGAACCGACUAAUGUUGAAAAAUUAGCGGAUGACCUGUGGCUGGGGGUGAAAGGCCAAUCAAACCGGGAGAUAGCUGGUUCUCCCCGAAAGCUAUUUAGGUAGCGCCUCGUGAAUUCAUCUCCGGGGGUAGAGCACUGUUUCGGCUAGGGGGCCAUCCCGGCUUACCAACCCGAUGCAAACUGCGAAUACCGGAGAAUGUUAUCACGGGAGACACACGGCGGGUGCUAACGUCCGUCGUGAAGAGGGAAACAACCCAGACCGCCAGCUAAGGUCCCAAAGUCAUGGUUAAGUGGGAAACGAUGUGGGAAGGCCCAGACAGCCAGGAUGUUGGCUUAGAAGCAGCCAUCAUUUAAAGAAAGCGUAAUAGCUCACUGGUCGAGUCGGCCUGCGCGGAAGAUGUAACGGGGCUAAACCAUGCACCGAAGCUGCGGCAGCGACACUCAGGUGUUGUUGGGUAGGGGAGCGUUCUGUAAGCCUGCGAAGGUGGCCUGUGAGGGUUGCUGGAGGUAUCAGAAGUGCGAAUGCUGACAUAAGUAACGAUAAAGCGGGUGAAAAGCCCGCUCGCCGGAAGACCAAGGGUUCCUGUCCAACGUUAAUCGGGGCAGGGUGAGUCGACCCCUAAGGCGAGGCCGAAAGGCGUAGUCGAUGGGAAACGGGUUAAUAUUCCCGUACUUGGUGUUACUGCGAAGGGGGGACGGAGAAGGCUAUGUUGGCCGGGCGACGGUUGUCCCGGUUUAAGCGUGUAGGUGUGUGUUCCAGGUAAAUCCGGUUCACUUUAACACUGAGGCGUGACGACGAGGCACUACGGUGCUGAAGCAACAAAUGCCCUGCUUCCAGGAAAAGCCUCUAAGCAUCAGGUAACAUCAAAUCGUACCCCAAACCGACACAGGUGGUCAGGUAGAGAAUACCAAGGCGCUUGAGAGAACUCGGGUGAAGGAACUAGGCAAAAUGGUGCCGUAACUUCGGGAGAAGGCACGCUGACACGUAGGUGAAGUGAUUUACUCAUGGAGCUGAAGUCAGUCGAAGAUACCAGCUGGCUGCAACUGUUUAUUAAAAACACAGCACUGUGCAAACACGAAAGUGGACGUAUACGGUGUGACGCCUGCCCGGUGCCGGAAGGUUAAUUGAUGGGGUCAGCGCAAGCGAAGCUCCUGAUCGAAGCCCCGGUAAACGGCGGCCGUAACUAUAACGGUCCUAAGGUAGCGAAAUUCCUUGUCGGGUAAGUUCCGACCUGCACGAAUGGCGUAAUGAUGGCCAGGCUGUCUCCACCCGAGACUCAGUGAAAUUGAACUCGCUGUGAAGAUGCAGUGUACCCGCGGCAAGACGGAAAGACCCCGUGAACCUUUACUAUAGCUUGACACUGAACAUUGAGCCUUGAUGUGUAGGAUAGGUGGGAGGCUUUGAAGUGUGGACGCCAGUCUGCAUGGAGCCGACCUUGAAAUACCACCCUUUAAUGUUUGAUGUUCUAACGUGGACCCGUAAUCCGGGUUGCGGACAGUGUCUGGUGGGUAGUUUGACUGGGGCGGUCUCCUCCUAAAGAGUAACGGAGGAGCACGAAGGUUGGCUAAUCCUGGUCGGACAUCAGGAGGUUAGUGCAAUGGCAUAAGCCAGCUUGACUGCGAGCGUGACGGCGCGAGCAGGUGCGAAAGCAGGUCAUAGUGAUCCGGUGGUUCUGAAUGGAAGGGCCAUCGCUCAACGGAUAAAAGGUACUCCGGGGAUAACAGGCUGAUACCGCCCAAGAGUUCAUAUCGACGGCGGUGUUUGGCACCUCGAUGUCGGCUCAUCACAUCCUGGGGCUGAAGUAGGUCCCAAGGGUAUGGCUGUUCGCCAUUUAAAGUGGUACGCGAGCUGGGUUUAGAACGUCGUGAGACAGUUCGGUCCCUAUCUGCCGUGGGCGCUGGAGAACUGAGGGGGGCUGCUCCUAGUACGAGAGGACCGGAGUGGACGCAUCACUGGUGUUCGGGUUGUCAUGCCAAUGGCACUGCCCGGUAGCUAAAUGCGGAAGAGAUAAGUGCUGAAAGCAUCUAAGCACGAAACUUGCCCCGAGAUGAGUUCU